GGCUUAGUUCAACGGUAGAACAUCGGUCUCCAAAACCGCCGAUGAGGGUUCGAUUCCUUCAGCC
RNAcentral lists this transfer RNA (64 nucleotides) under bovine gut metagenome. It matches the Rfam family "tRNA". Rfam says of the family: Transfer RNA (tRNA) molecules are approximately 80 nucleotides in length. The record is from RNAcentral.